Molecule: ribosomal RNA, 246 nt
Filed under: uncultured bacterium
Lineage: Bacteria
Description: partial 16S ribosomal RNA
Rfam family: Bacterial small subunit ribosomal RNA
Source: RNAcentral
UACGGAGGGUGCAAGCGUUAUCCGGAUUCACUGGGUUUAAAGGGAGCGUAGGAGGGCAGGUAAGUCAGUGGUGAAAUCUUCGAGCUUAACUCGGAAACUGCCGUUGAUACUAUCUGUCUUGAAUACCGUGGAGAUGAGCGGAAUAUGUCAUGUAGCGGUGAAAUGCUUAGAUAUGACAUAGAACACCAAUUGCGAAGGCAGCUCGUUACAACGAAUAUUGACUCUGAGGCUGAACGCGUGGGAGGC